GCCGGGAGCGGUGGCGCACGCCUGUAACCCCAGCGGUUUGGGAGGCGGAGGCAGGAGGAUCGCGAGUUCAAAGCCAGCCUCAGCAACUUAGCGAGACCCUGUGUCUA
RNAcentral lists this small RNA (107 nucleotides) under Marmota monax (woodchuck). Lineage: Eukaryota; Metazoa; Chordata; Mammalia; Rodentia; Sciuridae. The record is from RNAcentral.